GACGAACGCUGGCGGCGUGCCUAAUACAUGCAAGUUGAGCGCUGAAGGUUGGUACUUGUACCAACUGGAUGAGCAGCGAACGGGUGAGUAACGCGUGGGGAAUCUGCCUUUGAGCGGGGGACAACAUUUGGAAACGAAUGCUACUACCGCAUAAAAACUUUAAACACAAGUUUUAAGUUUGAAAGAUGCAAUUGCAUCACUCAAAGAUGAUCCCGCGUUGUAUUAGCUAGUUGGUGAGGUAAAGGCUCACCAAGGCGACGAUACAUAGCCGACCUGAGAGGAUGAUCGGCCACAUUGGGACUGAGACACGGCCCAAACUCCUACGGGAGGCAGCAGUAGGGAAUCUUCGGCAAUGGGCGAAAGCCUGACCGAGCAACGCCGCGUGAGUGAAGAAGGUUUUCGGGUCGUAAAGCUCUGUUGGUAGGGAAGAACGGUGGUGGGAGAGGAAAGCGCAUCAAGUAACGGUAACUACCCAGAAGGGGACGGCUAACUACGU
This 496-nucleotide ribosomal RNA is filed under the name uncultured bacterium. RNAcentral describes it as "partial 16S ribosomal RNA". It matches the Rfam family "Bacterial small subunit ribosomal RNA", at positions 28 to 506 of the family's 1533-position model. The record is from RNAcentral.